CGACGCCAGUACCGCCGGCGAUUGAAAGAGCGGACGAAUGAGUAACAAAGGGUAAGGUUAAAUCGCUAGACUUAGAUUCUAGUAACGGCGCAAGUCGUGGGAUUACAUAGGUACAUCGGUAACGAUGUAAUUAGUAGGGCAAAUUGGAUUUAGACGCUAAAUAAUAUGUACGGUAGUAGAAUACCGGCUAUAAAUA
RNAcentral lists this non-coding RNA (196 nucleotides) under unclassified sequences. Its description in RNAcentral is "throat-1 RNA". It matches the Rfam family "throat-1 RNA", at positions 142 to 334 of the family's 334-position model. Rfam says of the family: throat and tongue metagenomes. Environment (Human Microbiome Project, throat) The record is from Rfam by way of RNAcentral.